This is a small nuclear RNA of Bison bison bison, 125 nucleotides long. The record is from Ensembl. Lineage: Eukaryota; Metazoa; Chordata; Mammalia; Artiodactyla; Bovidae.
GUAUUGUAUGAGAGGGGAGAAGGUGAGCACUCCCUUGACAAGAACGGAAGAGGCCCUUGGGCCUGACAACACCCCCAUAGUUAAGGCAUCGCCACCUGCUUCGUGGCAUCUAACCACUGCUUUUG